CCCGCGACAGGGCCUUUGCCGGCAGUGGGCUCGAUGAAAGGGAUGUGUCAUUCUGGCUGUUGUUCCUACGCUGUGCGCUGUGGUACCUUUAUUGCUGAAAAUCACCCUAAAGUUCUGUCUAGUAUGCGCUGUGGUUUGCCGCUGGGAAGUGCAGCUUUCCCUCACCAGCCAGUCCUCCAAACAAACGUCUUGUUUGCUUGAUGAUUCAAUUGAUUUACGAGUAUUUAAUCCUCUCCGCUAAUUCUGGGAAGUUUGUAGCCAAUGACCAUAGGGAAUUGGUGUUCAGGGGCCUAUAAUUCGUAUAAAUCCGGGAAGUUGAAUAUGUAUCUUUCGAG
Molecule: small RNA, 335 nt
Filed under: Histoplasma capsulatum
Lineage: Eukaryota; Fungi; Ascomycota; Eurotiomycetes; Onygenales; Ajellomycetaceae
Also listed under: 1 other name
Description: hypothetical RNA
Source: RNAcentral